This is a long non-coding RNA of Sardina pilchardus (European sardine), 273 nucleotides long. RefSeq lists it as uncharacterized. The record is from RefSeq and is a predicted model, not a curated record. The transcript has 3 exons. NCBI's taxonomy places the organism in Eukaryota, Metazoa, Chordata, Actinopteri, Clupeiformes, Clupeidae.
UGAGAAUACGUGUUGUACACAUCUGCAAGAUCUAUCUGCAACUUGAUAAGGCUACAGACAAUAUGAGCAUGAUGGCAUGCUGGCACUCUCAGGCCCUGAUCAUGGUCAUCAUACUAGAUGUGAUCAGUUCAUGUCCUGCAAAGGAUUGGGCAAACCUCCGCCAUCAGCACAUCUGUGCUUUGACUGGAUCAUCAGUGUUUGUGCUCUGCUCUCUCUCUCCCCCUGCUGUUCAAACUAUUUCUGAAGUCUUCUGGCUGAUUAAUGCAAAAAAGG